RNAcentral lists this ribosomal RNA (515 nucleotides) under uncultured bacterium. RNAcentral's name for it is "partial 16S ribosomal RNA". It matches the Rfam family "Bacterial small subunit ribosomal RNA", at positions 355 to 858 of the family's 1533-position model. The record is from RNAcentral.
UGGGGAAUUUUGGACAAUGGGCGCAAGCCUGAUCCAGCCAUGCCGCGUGCGGGAAGAAGGCCUUCGGGUUGUAAACCGCUUUUGUCAGGGAAGAAAUCUUCUGAGUUAAUACCUCGGGAGGAUGACGGUACCUGAAGAAUAAGCACCGGCUAACUACGUGCCAGCAGCCGCGGUAAUACGUAGGGUGCAAGCGUUAAUCGGAAUUACUGGGCGUAAAGCGUGCGCAGGCGGUUUUGUAAGACAGAGGUGAAAUCCCCGGGCUCAACCUGGGAACUGCCUUUGUGACUGCAAGGCUUGAGUGCGGCAGAGGGGGGCAUGGAAUUCCGCGUGUAGCAGUGAAAUGCGUAGAUAUGCGGAGGAACACCGAUGGCGAAGGCAAUUCCCCUGGGCCUGCACUGACGCUCAUGCACGAAAGCGUGGGGAGCAAAACAGGAUUAGAUCCCUGGUAGUCCACGCCCCUAAAACGAUGUCAACUGGUUGUUGGGAAGGUUCCUUCUCAGUAACGUAGCUAACGC